GUGGGGAAUAUUGCGCAAUGGGCGGAAGCCUGACGCAGCGACGCCGCGUGAGGGAUGACGGCCUUCGGGUUGUAAACCUCUUUCAGCAGGGACGAAGCGUGAGUGACGGUACCUGCAGAAGAAGCACCGGCCAACUACGUGCCAGCAGCCGCGGUAAUACGUAGGGUGCAAGCGUUGUCCGGAAUUAUUGGGCGUAAAGAGCUCGUAGGCGGUUUGUCGCGUCGGCUGUGAAAGCCCGGAGCUCAACUCCGGGUCUGCAGUCGAUACGGGCAGACUUGAGUGUUGCAGGGGAGACUGGAAUUCCUGGUGUAGCGGUGAAAUGCGCAGAUAUCAGGAGGAACACCGGUGGCGAAGGCGGGUCUCUGGGCAACAACUGACGCUGAGGAGCGAAAGCGUGGGGAGCGAACAGGAUUAGAUACCCGAGUAGUCC
This 430-nucleotide ribosomal RNA is filed under the name uncultured bacterium. RNAcentral's name for it is "bacterial SSU rRNA". It matches the Rfam family "Bacterial small subunit ribosomal RNA", at positions 354 to 796 of the family's 1533-position model. The record is from RNAcentral.